RNAcentral lists this ribosomal RNA (462 nucleotides) under bacterium ND2005. RNAcentral describes it as "bacterial SSU rRNA". It matches the Rfam family "Bacterial small subunit ribosomal RNA", at positions 28 to 474 of the family's 1533-position model. The record is from RNAcentral.
GAUGAACGCUGGCGGCGUGCCUAACACAUGCAAGUCGAACGGAGAUUUAACGCUGAUGAAGCUUCGGCAGAUUCUUGUUAAAUCUUAGUGGCGGACGGGUGAGUAACGCGUGGGCAACCUGCCUCAUACUGGGGGAUAACAGCUGGAAACGACUGUUAAUACCGCAUAAGCGCACAGCAUCGCAUGAUGCAGUGUGAAAAACUCCGGUGGUAUGAGAUGGGCCCGCGUCAGAUUAGCCAGUUGGCAGGGUAACGGCCUACCAAAGCGACGAUCUGUAGCCGGCCUGAGAGGGCGGACGGCCACAUUGGGACUGAGACACGGCCCAAACUCCUACGGGAGGCAGCAGUGGGGGAUAUUGCACAAUGGAGGAAACUCUGAUGCAGCGACGCCGCGUGAGUGAAGAAGUAUUUCGGUAUGUAAAGCUCUAUCAGCAGGGAAGAAAGACUCGUAAGAGAGAUGACG